GAUGAACGCUGGCGGCGUGCUUAACACAUGCAAGUCGAACGGGAAUGUCGCGCUGACGAGACUUCGGUCAAAUCUUGUGGCAUUCUAGUGGCGGACGGGUGAGUAACGCGUGGGUAACCUGCCAUAUACAGGGGGAUAACACUUAGAAAUAGGUGCUAAUACCGCAUAAGCGCACGGAGUCGCAUGACUUUGUGUGAAAAACUGAGGUGGUAUAUGAUGGACCCGCGUCUGAUUAGCUUGUUGGUGAGGUAACGGCCCACCAAGGCGACGAUCAGUAGCCGGCCUGAGAGGGUGGACGGCCACAUUGGGACUGAGACACGGCCCAA
RNAcentral lists this ribosomal RNA (326 nucleotides) under uncultured bacterium. RNAcentral's name for it is "bacterial SSU rRNA". It matches the Rfam family "Bacterial small subunit ribosomal RNA", at positions 28 to 334 of the family's 1533-position model. The record is from RNAcentral.